UUUUUUCUACCAAGAUCCGUCGUCCAAACACCACUUCGUAUCCACUUCUUCCUCUUUUUUAUGUCUUCGUUUCUCUCUUCGCGUCGUUCUCUGACCGGGUGAAACCGGGCUUAGCUUCUAGUAUAUAUAUAUAUGUGUGUGUGUACGACGCACUUUCAGUUUCUGUCCACCAAAUCCACUUGCAGGGCUUUGGUCAGCUCGAGGCUAUAGUGGAAGACACUUACCCAAGGUGCUACGCAGUGGGACUGAACUCGGAAUCAUGUGAUUGGGAAGUAAGCCUGGCCGGCAUUGAGCAAGGACGUGUCUAGCUGUCUCUCUCCAUCUUUCGAACUCACGCUAGACAGCUCACAUCAACAUACCAACGUCCCAGCAACCAUGUUCUCACACACAGAAGGCGUCUCAACAACCAAGAGUAAAGCUGUCUAUUUUCCACCUUAAAUAAAUAUUGUUUGUGUUGAUA
Molecule: long non-coding RNA, 460 nt
Organism: Octopus bimaculoides (California two-spot octopus)
Lineage: Eukaryota; Metazoa; Mollusca; Cephalopoda; Octopoda; Octopodidae
Source: RefSeq, a predicted model, not a curated record